CAGCCGCCGCGGUAAUACCGGCGGCCCGAGUGGCGGUCACUCUUAUUGGGCUUAAAGCGUCCGUAGCCGGGUUGGGAAGUCCUCCGGGAAAUCUGGCCGCUUAACGGUCAGAAUGCCGGAGGAUACUCCCAGCCUAGGGAGCGGGAGAGGCCGAGGGUAUUCCCGGAGUAGGGGUGAAAUCCUAUAAUCCCGGGAGGACCACCUGUGGCGAAGGCGCUCGGCUGGAACGCGUCCGACGGUGAGGGACGAAGGCCAGGGGAGCAAACCGGAUUAGAUACCCGGGUAGUCCUGGCUGUAAACGAUGCGGACGUUGUGUCGGACAAGCUAUGAGCUUGUCCGGUGCCGGAGGGAAACCGUUAAGUCCGCCGCCUGGGGAGUACGGCCGCAAGGCUGAAACUUAAAGGAAUUGGCGGG
This 414-nucleotide ribosomal RNA is filed under the name uncultured microorganism. RNAcentral's name for it is "bacterial SSU rRNA". It matches the Rfam family "Archaeal small subunit ribosomal RNA", at positions 459 to 872 of the family's 1478-position model. The record is from RNAcentral.